GGCGGCGUGCUUAACACAUGCAAGUCGCACGAGAACUCUUCUGCUUGCAGAAGAUAGUAAAGUGGCGCACGGGUGAGUAACGCGUGGGUAAUCUACCUCUGAAUUGGGGAUAACAUUGUGAAAGCGAUGCUAAUACCGAAUAAUAUCCCGAGAACUUAGGCUUUUGGGAUCAAAGGUGGCCUCUACAUGUAAGCUACUGUUUAGAGAUGAGCCCGCGUACCAUUAGCUUGUUGGUAGGGUAAUGGCCUACCAAGGCAACGAUGGUUAGCUGGUCUGAGAGGAUGAUCAGCCACACUGGAACUGACACACGGUCCAGACUCCUACGGGAGGCAGCAGUGAGGAAUUUUGCGCAAUGGGGGAAACCCUGACGCAGCAACGCCGCGUGAGUGAUGAAGGCUUUCGAGUCGUAAAGCUCUGUCAAGUGAGAAGAACCUACUUUUUGUUAAUACCAUUAAGUACUGACGGUAUCACUGAAGGAAGCACCGGCUAACUCCGUGCCAGCAGCCGCGGCAAUACGGAGGGUGCAAGCGUUAUUCGGAAUUAUUGGGCGUAAAGGGCGCGUAGGCGGUCUUUUAAGUCAGAUGUGAAAGCCCGGGGCUCAACCCCGGAAGUGCAUUUGAAACUAAUGGACUUGAGUAUGGGAGAGGGAAGUGGAAUUCCUGGUGUAGAGGUGAAAUUCGUAGAUAUCAGGAGGAACACCGGUGGCGAAGGCGACUUCCUGGACCAAUACUGACGCUGAGGCGCGAAGGCGUGGGGAGCAAACAGGAUUAGAUACCCUGGUAGUCCACGCAGUAAACGGUGAACACUAGGUGUAGCGGGUAUUGACCCCUGCUGUGCCGCAGUUAACGCAUUAAGUGUUCCGCCUGGGGAGUACGACCGCAAGGUUAAAACUC
Molecule: ribosomal RNA, 893 nt
Filed under: uncultured bacterium
Lineage: Bacteria
Description: bacterial SSU rRNA
Rfam family: Bacterial small subunit ribosomal RNA
Source: RNAcentral